Molecule: long non-coding RNA, 682 nt
Filed under: Rattus norvegicus (Norway rat)
Lineage: Eukaryota; Metazoa; Chordata; Mammalia; Rodentia; Muridae
Description: long non-coding RNA NONRATT000349
Source: RNAcentral
CGGAAAUCCGAUUGUUAUUCCGACUCCUCCAAUCCUGUUUCUUUGAUUCGAGUCAACUCCUAAGAAAUCCAUUCCGACUUUUCGUCCUCACUCGAAGCUUGUUGGUUUUGUUCAGUCGGGUUCGUCCGGGAGGCUCUGUGGAGGUUUUCUGGCUGACUUCAAGUUCCUACUCAGGCAUUUGCCCAAGCUACGUCUACUGUUGCCAGUUGCUGCACAAUGCCUUCUCUUGUAACAACCGGGAGGAACCCCUUACGCCGGGAUUCAGUCACUAAAGGGACUUUUCAAGCGCUGAGCCUCAGUUUACUCUCAACUUUCAUACACUGCCCUUCGUGCCUAUUUUAUAGGUCAACUCUAAGGAUUAGACAAAUGCGUGUAAGAAACUUUCGUUUUCCUUCUUUAAAACAGCAGGUUGGAACUCUACAUUUCGGGGACGUUUUAUCUGAGUCGUGUUUGUAUUCAUUCUCUUGUCUUUCAAGGGAUCUAGUUAUUUGUUUUUUCCACCUCUUGAUUCUCAAAUGGCUUUGUUAGACCUGCUUUCACGGAUUAACACCUGUCAGUAAUUUUUUUUUCCUGUCUUGUCUCUUCAGGGCUGUGCUGUUUCUAAUUUUUUGUUCCAUUUUGUUAUCAACUAGCUAGUUCAGUGUAAUGGACUACCUUCACAUAAAGUGAACAUUAGUUCUGC